This is a non-coding RNA of Theobroma cacao (cacao), 363 nucleotides long. Lineage: Eukaryota; Viridiplantae; Streptophyta; Magnoliopsida; Malvales; Malvaceae. The record is from RefSeq and is a predicted model, not a curated record.
AAGAGAAAAAGUGUGGAAAAUCAAGGAAAACAAGUGAAAAAGUGGAGGUUCUGUGGACUAGCCUAAGAGAGGGGGCACAGAAUCAGAUAUACCUUACCUCGAUCGAAGAGUCGUGUGAAGGGUGUCUCUGGAGGUAAAGAUUUGAGUGUACUUCACGUGGACCACCGCAUGAGAGUGAGACUCAGCGAACGCCAAAGCAUGGCUAGAAUUUUGGAUGUAAAGACAUUUAACAACCUUGGUGGUCUCAGUCAGAUGCCUAGGUCAAGGCAUCCCUGGGAAUGAUUUUUGGCAGAAGCCAAGUUUUGUGUGAUAUAUAAGCCAUGUUGAUUAAUUGAGUAAACUGAAUAUUCAUAUUAUGAAACA